Molecule: small nuclear RNA, 192 nt
Organism: Otolemur garnettii (small-eared galago)
Lineage: Eukaryota; Metazoa; Chordata; Mammalia; Primates; Galagidae
Gene: U2
Rfam family: U2 spliceosomal RNA
About the family: U2 is a small nuclear RNA (snRNA) component of the spliceosome (involved in pre-mRNA splicing). Complementary binding between U2 snRNA (in an area lying towards the 5' end but 3' to hairpin I) and the branchpoint sequence (BPS) of the intron results the bulging out of an unpaired adenosine, on the BPS, which initiates a nucleophilic attack at the intronic 5' splice site, thus starting the first of two transesterification reactions that mediate splicing.
Source: Ensembl
AUCCCUUCUUGGCCUUUUGGCUGAGAUCAAGUGUAGUAUCUGUUCUUACCAGCUUAAUAUCUGAUGCAUCCUCUAUCUGAGGACAAUAUAUUAAAUGGAUUUGGGGGGCAGGGAGUUGGAGUAGGAGCUUGUUCCAUCCACUCCACUGCAUUAACCUGGUAUUGCAGUACUUCCAGGAAUGACACUCCCUCU